RNAcentral lists this ribosomal RNA (1473 nucleotides) under Triticum aestivum (bread wheat). Its description in RNAcentral is "partial small subunit ribosomal RNA". The record is from RNAcentral. Lineage: Eukaryota; Viridiplantae; Streptophyta; Magnoliopsida; Poales; Poaceae.
AUGGACGGCGAGGGGUGUGGGUGGCAUGUGGUGAUGGUGCCGUUCCCGGCGCAGGGGCACGUUGCCCCGCUGAUGCAGCUGGCGCGUCUCCUCCACGCCCGCGGCGCGCGCAUCACCUUCGUCCACACGCACUUCAACUACCGCCGCCUCCUCCGCGCCAAGGGCGAGGCCGCCGUCCGCCCGCCGCCCGCCGCCGCCGCCCGCUUCCGCGUCGAGGUCAUCGACGACGGCACGUCCCUCUCCGUGCCGCAGCACGACGUGGCGGCCCUCGCCGACGCCGUGGGCCGCAACUGCCCCGGCCCCUUCCGCGGCCUGCUGAGGAAGCUCGCCGACGAGGAGCGCGCCGGGGCGCCCCCCGUCACGUGCGUCGUCGCCGACACGGCCAUGGCGUUCGCGGCAACCGCGGCCAGGGAGGCCGGCGUGGCGGACGCGCUCUUCUUCACGGCGUCCGCGUGCGGCCUCCUGGGGUACUCGCAGUUCGAAGAGCUGCUCAAGCGAGGGCUCCUCCCUCUCGAAGAUGGGAGCUGCUUGACCAACGGAUAUUUGGACACGCCGCUGGACUGGGUGCCGGGGAUGCAGCAGCACAUGCGGCUCAGGGAUAUGCCGACCUUCUGCCGCAUCACGGACGCCAACGACACCAUGGUGAGCGAGAUCAUGGGGCAGAUGAAGAGCGCCGCCGGCUCCAAGGCCAUCAUCCUCAACACCUUCUACGAGCUCGAGAGCGAUGUGGUGGACGCGCUCGCCACCAUCUUCCCGCCGCCCGUGUACACCGUCGGCCCGCUAGCCCAGGUCAUCGCCUCCUCCUCCGCCGCCGCCAACGACGGCCUCGACGCCAUGGACAUCAGCAUCUGGCAGGAGGACGCGCGGUGCCUCGCAUGGCUCGACGGCAAGCCAGACAAGUCGGUGGUCUAUGUCAACUUUGGCAGCGUCGCCGUCAUGACGGCCGAGCAGACGCGCGAGUUCGCGCUGGGCCUGGCGACGUGCGGGUUCCCGUUCCUGUGGGUGAAGCGACCCGACAUCGUGGACGGCGACGACGUGGCGGCGCUCCCGGAGGUGUUCCGCGACGAGCUGGAGCGCGGCGGGGGCCUCGUCGUGCCGUGGUGCCCGCAGCCGGCGGUGCUGAAGCACGCGGCGGCGGGCCUGUUCGUGACGCACUGUGGGUGGAACUCGCUUCUGGAGUCGGUGGUGGCCGGCUUGCCGGUUCUCGCCUGGCCGGUCUUCGCCGAGCAAACGACCAACUGCAGGCAGGUGCUUGAGUGCUGGCGGAACGGCUUGGAUCUUCCAGAGGAGGUGGAGAGCGGCGCCGUGUCGAGGCUGGUGAGGGAGAUGAUGGCCGGGGAGCUGGGGAAGGAGAAAAGGGCCAAAGCGGCGGAGUGGAGAGCCGCGGCCGAGGCGGCCGCCAUGGAAGGCGGCUCGUCGUUGCGCAGCGUCGACCGACUGGUCAACGAUGUGCUGCUGCUCGGGAACAAGUGA